CCUACGGGGUGCUGCAGUGGGGAAUAUUGCACAAUGGGGGGAACCCUGAUGCAGCGACGCCGCGUGAGCGAGGAAGUAUUUCGGUAUGUAAAGCUCUAUCAGCAGGGACGAAAAAAGACGGUACCUGACUCAGAUGCCCCGGCUCACUACGUGCCAGCAGCCGCGGUAAUACGUAGGGGGCAAGCGUUUUCCGGAUUUACUGGGUGUAAAGGGAGAGUAGGCGGGAAGGCAAGCCAGGAGUGAAAGGGCAGGGCUCAACCCUGUACAUGCUUUUGAAACUGUGGUGCUAGAGUGCGGGAGAGGUAAGUGGAAUUCCUGGUGUAGCGGUGAAAUGCGUAGAUAUUAGGAGGAACACCAGUGGCGAAGGCGGCUUGCUGGACUGUAACUGACGUUGAGGCUCGAAAGCGUGGGGAGCAAACAGGAUUAGAUACCCGGGUAGUC
This 441-nucleotide ribosomal RNA is filed under the name uncultured bacterium. RNAcentral's name for it is "partial 16S ribosomal RNA". It matches the Rfam family "Bacterial small subunit ribosomal RNA", at positions 338 to 795 of the family's 1533-position model. The record is from RNAcentral.